CCUACGGGCGGCUGCAGUAAGGAAUAUUGGUCAAUGGAGGAAACUCUGAACCAGCCAUCCCGCGUGAAGGAUGAAGGGGCUCUGCCUUGUAAACUUCUUUUGUCUGGGGCGAAAAAGCUCGAUUUAUCGAGAACUGACGGUACAAGAAGAAUAAGCACCGGCUACCUCCGUGCCAGCAGCCGCGGUCAUACGGAGGGUGCAAGCGUUACCCGGAAUCACGGGGGCGUAGGCGGCUGUGGAAGGCAGAGGUGAAAGGCUGUGGCUUAACCAUGGAAUUGCCAUUGAUACUGCAGAGCUUGAAUGAGGUUGAGGUUGGCGGAAUGUGACAUGUAGCGGUGAAAUGCUUAGAUAUGUCAUGGAACACCGAUUGCGAAGGCAGCUGACUGGACCUAUAUUGACGCUGAGGCACGAAAGCGUGGGGAGCGAACAGGAUUAGAUACCCGAGUAGUC
RNAcentral lists this ribosomal RNA (450 nucleotides) under uncultured bacterium. Its description in RNAcentral is "partial 16S ribosomal RNA". It matches the Rfam family "Bacterial small subunit ribosomal RNA", at positions 338 to 795 of the family's 1533-position model. The record is from RNAcentral.